This 468-nucleotide ribosomal RNA is filed under the name uncultured bacterium. RNAcentral's name for it is "partial 16S ribosomal RNA". It matches the Rfam family "Bacterial small subunit ribosomal RNA", at positions 28 to 507 of the family's 1533-position model. The record is from RNAcentral.
GACGAACGCUGGCGGCGUGCUUAACACAUGCAAGUCGAACGGAAAGGCCCUGCUUUUGUGGGGUGCUCGAGUGGCGAACGGGUGAGUAACACGUGAGUAACCUGCCCUUGACUUUGGGAUAACUUCAGGAAACUGGGGCUAAUACCGGAUAGGAGCUCCUGCUGCAUGGUGGGGGUUGGAAAGUUUCGGCGGUUGGGGAUGGGCUCGCGGCUUAUCAGCUUGUUGGUGGGGUAGUGGCUUACCAAGGCUUUGACGGGUAGCCGGCCUGAGAGGGUGACCGGCCACAUUGGGACUGAGAUACGGCCCAGACUCCUACGGGAGGCAGCAGUGGGGAAUAUUGCACAAUGGGCGGAAGCCUGAUGCAGCAACGCCGCGUGCGGGAUGACGGCCUUCGGGUUGUAAACCGCUUUCGCCUGUGACGAAGCGUGAGUGACGGUAAUGGGUGAAGAAGCACCGGCUAACUACGUG